CAAGUCGUGCGAGAAAGUUCCUUCGGGAGCGAGUACAGCGGCGCACGGGUGAGUAACACGUAGGUAAUCUGCCCUCGAGCCUGGAAUAACCUACCGAAAGGUGGGCUAAUACCGGAUAUGACCACGGAAGUUUCGGCUUCUGCGGUGAAAGGUGGCCUCUACCUGUAAGCUACCACUCAAGGAUGAGCCUGCGUACCAUUAGCUAGUUGGUGGGGUAAUGGCCCACCAAGGCUAUGAUGGUUAGCUGGUCUGAGAGGAUGGCCAGCCACACUGGGACUGAAACACGGCCCAGACUCCUACGGGAGGCAGCAGUGGGGGAUAUUGCGCAAUGGGCGAAAGCCUGACGCAGCGACGCCGCGUGGGUGAUGAAGGCCUUCGGGUCGUAAAGCCCUGUCGAGGGGGAAGAAUCGGUUGCGACCUAACACGUCGUGAUCCUGACGGUACCCCUAAAGGAAGCACCGGCUAACUCCGUGCCAGCAGCCGCGGUAAUACGGAGGGUGCGAGCGUUGUUCGGAAUCACUGGGCGUAAAGCGCGUGUAGGCGGCCCACUAAGUCUGAUGUGAAAGCCCGGGGCUCACCCCCGGAAGUGCAUUGGAAACUGGUGGACUCGAGUCCCGGAGAGGAGAGUGGAAUUCCUGGUGUAGCGGUGAAAUGCGUAGAUAUCAGGAGGAACACCGGUGGCGAAGGCGGCUCUCUGGACGGUGACUGACGCUGAGACGCGAAAGCGUGGGGAGCAAACAGGAUUAGAUACCCUGGUAGUCCACGCCGUAAACGAUGAGCACUAGGUGUCGCGGGUAUUGACCCCUGCGGUGCCGACGCUAACGCAU
This 827-nucleotide ribosomal RNA is filed under the name uncultured delta proteobacterium. RNAcentral's name for it is "bacterial SSU rRNA". It matches the Rfam family "Bacterial small subunit ribosomal RNA", at positions 58 to 860 of the family's 1533-position model. Lineage: Bacteria; Deltaproteobacteria. The record is from RNAcentral.